RNAcentral lists this ribosomal RNA (405 nucleotides) under uncultured bacterium. Its description in RNAcentral is "partial 16S ribosomal RNA". It matches the Rfam family "Bacterial small subunit ribosomal RNA", at positions 28 to 526 of the family's 1533-position model. The record is from RNAcentral.
GAUGAACGCUGGCGGCGUGCCUAAUACAUGCAAGUCGAGCGAAGCGGGGACGGGUGAGUAACACGUGGAUAACCUCCUCUAAGACUGGGAUAACUUCUGGAAACCGGAGCUAAACCGGAUACUUAUACAUGGAUCCGCGCGGCAUUGGCUAGUUGGUAAGGUAACGGCUUACCAAGGCAACGAUGCAUAGCCGACCUGAGAGGGUGUUGGGACACACGGGAACUGAGACACGGUCCAGACUCCUACGGGAGGCAGCGUUAGGGAAUCUUCCGCAAUGGGCGAAAUCCUGACGGAGCAACGCCGCGUGGGUGAUGAAGGUUUUCGGAUCGUAAAACUCUGUUAUUAGGGAAGCGGUACCUAAUCAGAAAGCCACGGCUAACUACGUGCCAGCAGCCGCGGUAAUAC